AUGUCAUCACCUUGUGUAGUUAUAAUCUCCCUUUCUUACACAAAAAAGACAACACUGGAGCUGUAGGGAUUCGUAGACCUUGUCCUGUCCAUCUCCUUCAAUGUACAGGAAAGGACAGUGAAGACAGGGAGCUCAAGUGACCUCCUCCAGGGUAUAUAGCUGAAUUCAACUGUCCAGAUAGAAAGGUGGACAUGGAAAAAUUGGGCUUUGCAAAUGGUCACCCAAUUCUUGCCUUCCUGGUCUCCAGAUCACCCUUCCUAUACCGCCACUCUGGAGAAAGAAGUACAGAACGCUAACAAGGAUGGCUUGGAGUUGCAGUGGUCACCUCAGAUCUUAAGGUCACUUUGGAGAUGGAACCCCUGUGACUAGGAAUGGCAGAACAGAAAGCACUCACAGUGUGUGCUACCCUUCUGCAUGGUGGAAUUGUGGGGAAGUAACUACUAGCCAGAGACUACCUCAAGGCCUCUUUCAUCAAGGAGAGGCCCAUAUGAUUAGUUUUCACCAGUGAGCUAGAUACAGAGGACCUAACAUACAACUCAGAGUCCCUAGAAGAUGGAGAAAACACAGACAAUUGGCAGAGGAGAUGAGCAUGUGAUUAUUGUUACCACUUGUCUGGAAGCAACCAGAAUGGAGUGGGGAAGACUCAAGGAGGAGAUCUUCACAGGACUCACCUCUCAUCACAGCUCCCGUGUGGUUGUAAUCACCCCAGAGGGAAAAAUAAUUUCGGUUUUUUAUGGUUUAAUUAUUGGUGAUAGCAGCUGUUUUGAAGACACAAACACAGAAGCAAGUUCUAGAACAUACUCACAGUUUCCUUGGUCACAGUGUUGUCAGUGGUUCUAUAAAGGUCUUAUGAAUCUCUACUUAGUUGACCACAAGUAGUAAGCAAGAAACAAUCCUGUAAAGAGAAUGGAGGUCAGAAUAAAGAAGCCUUGAGGGUUUAAAUCGCUUCUUGAAAAGAAAUGCCCGUGUGUCAAGGAGCUAAGGGAGACCAGCCCAGGAGGAGCUGAAUCCUGCCAACAAUCACUUGAGUGAACUUGAGAGUGAAUCCUCUCCAUGUUAAGCCUUGAGGUGAUUGUAGCUCCAUCAAAUACCUUCAUUGUAGCCUUGUGAGAGAUCUGAGUCAGAGGAUGGAGUUAAGCCAAGCCCAGAUUCCAGACCCUCAGAAACUUGAAAGCGGAAUACCUGGUUAUCCGGAGGUCACUGUCUCCACACAGAGUGGUGUCCUUGAUGCUAGCUUGGGGCAAAGAAGCCAGGCCAGCUUGUGGUUGCAAUAGGAAUAGAAGAGACUUCCUUACUCCAAUCCCACCCUACCCCCUCAUCCUGCCUCAACCAGUCAUGCAGAGAGAUGCUGAAUGGCUGCCUGCUCUCAGGGGAAUGAUUUGUGGAGGUUUAAUUAAAAUAAUUUAAUCAAUC
This 1413-nucleotide long non-coding RNA is filed under the name Homo sapiens (human). Its description in RNAcentral is "HSALNT0394129". The record is from RNAcentral. Lineage: Eukaryota; Metazoa; Chordata; Mammalia; Primates; Hominidae.